GGUGUCUUAGCUCAGGUGGUAGAGCAAUGGACUGAAAAUCCAUGUGUCCCCGGUUCGACUCCUGGAGACACCA
Molecule: transfer RNA, 73 nt
Filed under: Bacteroidales bacterium
Lineage: Bacteria; Pseudomonadati; Bacteroidota; Bacteroidia; Bacteroidales
Also listed under: 2 other names
Description: tRNA-Phe
Rfam family: tRNA
About the family: Transfer RNA (tRNA) molecules are approximately 80 nucleotides in length.
Source: RNAcentral